GCUCCCCUGCUCCGGCUUAAAGCCCGGGGGAGGGCUCGGGGAGGGGACUGCGCUCAGGGGCCCGCCUUCUCCUGCCCCUGCAGGGUGGUGCCUGCGCCCCUGGGCCUGGGGGCGAGAGGCCCGGCAAAGUUAAGGGAAGUCAGGCCCAGGAACUGGGAACCAGACUCCGGCCCUCCGGGCAGCGUGGCCUCGGGUCUAACCCGCGGCCGCGGCCACACCUUUUCCACGCUUUUUACCGCCCCCGUUAAACGGUUGGUAAUGACCAGGUGAGGAUGAAAGCACUUGUCAGCGUCCCCCUGGGUUUGAAUCCGGGCCCUGCACAGUCCAGCCGCGUGGCCAUGAGCAACGGCCUUGGAGCCUCGGUUUACUCGUCCAGAAAGUGGGGGCGAUGAUGAUCGCGGCCUCUACCAGACAAGAGGUCUGUUGGGAAGGUUGAGGGAGAUGGCCCGCUGACGCCUAGCACGACGCCUGGCACAGAGCAAGCGCUGAGCGGGGGUCACCGCUGUUGAUUUAGUUUCUACUUGUUCCCAAGGUGGGUGAGCCGUCUGGAGAUCGGAGCCUGGAGGAAGGAAUCGUUUUCUUCCUCCUCGAUAAAUGCAGGGGCGCACAACUGCUGAAUCAGGCACCUGACCUUGAGCAGCUCCAUAACCGGCUUCAUCAAAGGUUCCAACCAGGAUAAUCUGUACGCAUUCCCUGCGUCUGUCGCCCCGCAUUACACAAAGCGACGUUCAAAUUCCAGCCGUACCGCUUGGCUUCUUAUGCAACCCUAGACAAGAGCUUUAACUCCUGGGGGCCUGUGUCCUUGUCUGGAAUGGAAACACGAAGGGGGCGUAGCUCACAAGGAUGUGGGAAGAAUUAAUAAGCAAGGCCGUGGUGCAGAGUGCCUGCACAUACGUGAACAAGUAGGGGCAGAGCAGCAGAAGAAGCGGUCAAACUCACAAGAGGAAGCAGGUGGCAGAGAUCGGCCAGGACUUGCAUAGGCCGAGUCCUCAAAGAAGAGCCUCUAACGGGAAGGCUUGUCUGUUAGACGGAUGAGGAAACUGAGGCUCCGAGAGAUUAAGACAUUUGCCCGAGGUCACACAGCUAGUGCACGACAGGGCUGAAAUUCCAAUGAUCCGCACCGCCACUGCCCCUCCCCAUUUCUAAGAGGAAAAUAACCAUCGAUGUGAUCGACUGAUUACAGUCACCAGCCCAGCUAUUAAGGGCUUGCUAUGUGCCAAGCACUGUGCUGGGCGCGGACAUGAAUGAUCGAGCCAUGCCUAGCUCUUUGGCCUGACGUCCUACCCGCUUUCCCCUCAAUCACUGCUUGCCACCCUCUUCACGACCUCCUUUCUGCUCCUUGAACAUUCCAGGUUCUUCGCACGGACUGCUCCCUCUGCCUGGAUGUCCCCCCCCACAUCCCCCCACCAUCCCACCUCACUGGCUGCUUCCUUCUCACGUGGGUCUUUGCUCCAACGUCACCUCCUCCGAGGCGCCCCCCCCCAACCCCCAAUCUACUGAAACGUAACCUUCCUCCACUCUGCGUCACACACUCUAUGUCGAGUCUGCCCCGAGUUCUUUCCUUCACAGCACGAGUCAUCGUUUCAAACCAUUCCCUACUAGAUUAAACUCCAUGAGAACCGGGAGUCCUCAUUAAUCCUCACCGUAUCCCCGGUGCCCGGAACAGCACCUGGAACAUAGCGGAGGUUCCGCCGGGGCCACACUGUGCUUUGCCUCCAGCAGGGAAGACUGUGGGCACCACUGUAGAAACCGCGGCCGGAGCCGGGCACAAACAUGGCCCCCUGCCCACGGAGCAAGCAGGAUGCAAACGAGCAGGUGAAUCUGAAGGAUAGCAGCCAGGGCCUGAGUACAUAGAUGGACAGUUCUCCUGGGGACAUGUGUGGCUGCUGCAGGACCCCCCUCGCCCUCGAUGCCUGCAAACGUCAUUGUAGCCUCCCUAACGCUGCCGCCUCCGCCGUGCUGGCCACCGUGUCACACGCACCAACGGGCCCGAGCGGAUCGCUGCACGCUCGCCAAGGCCUCUCUCUGCCCCAGGCUGCCACUGUCGCAGACCCGGCCAGUUGCAAAGGCUUUUCCCUUCCCCUCCAGCCCCCCUUUACCGCCUUUUCUCCCGAUGUGAUCCCUUGAAAACGUAAAAUGCGUUCCUGUUUAAAACUGCAGUCGAGUUGAGAACAAUACCCGGGCUCGUGACAAGGCCCCGAGCUGGUCCUCACCCACCUCUCUGAUCUCACUUCCCGCUCUUCCUCUGCUCUGCUCACUGAGAACUGGCCACCCUGGCCUUGCUGCCCAGGGAUGCCCCUCCUUUACCAACUUUGUCCCUCAUGGGUCUCUGCCUGGGACACGCUCCCCCACCUCCCGGUUCUUUUUUGGUUUAAUUAAGAAAAAAAUAAGUUGAGACAGAACGCGAGCAGGGGAGGGGCAGAGAGGGAGGGAGGCACAGAAUCCGAGGGAGGCUCCAGGCUCUGAGCUGUCAGCACAGAGCCCGACGUGGGGCUCAAACUCGUGAACCACCAGAUCAUGACCUGAGCCGAAGUCGGACGCUCAACCGACUGAGCCACCCGGGUGCCGCCAGCUCUCCUUCACACACCAGUUCUAAUGUCACUGUUUCCUCGUUGAGUAAGGGCAGCCUUAGGUCCCCCUCUAUCUCCAGGGCCCCGCACGCGGCGAGCUCUAGCUGUUUCCUGACUUACUACCUGUACGUGUGUGCCCACCAGUCAUUCUCACCCCGAGGCAGACAGCUCUCAGUCACGUUGACAGUAUUCCUUGAAAACAUCAUUGCCCCUGGGGCCCUUGAAGUUCUUGGAAAAUAACGUUAUAGAAGGUCAAGAUAUAUCAAAAGUGUAUCCCUUCCAGCAUCUCGUUUCCUAAAGCAUCAGUGGAGGCCACACGGGCUUGGGAGCCAGGAAAAAGUCUCCCUUGCACCUGUGACAUCUUGGACAAGUUCUCCAUCGAUACACUGGGGAUGCUACCUUAGAGUUGUCUCAAUUCCAAUAUGAACACUCCUGGGACGGUAUCUUGACAAGUGAUAACCAGGCAACGAUAUUCACUCUCCUGUCUACUGGUCACCAGUACCCAGGAAGGGAAGUUUUCAUUCAUUCCUGGGCAUCUGCCACAGGCACAGGGCUGACUAUGGUGAAGGAAACCCACAGUCCUGGACCCACGGAAAUGCUCACUGCCCACGUACCCAGUAGCCAAUGAUACUGGGCACAGAGAAGGCACUCAAAGUACUUAUUUGCUGGCUGGUGCAGACAAGGAGGAGAGGUACUUUAUUAUACCUCCCUCCCCACAGACACACAUCUCUGGGGAAGAGACUGAGGCUGGGAGGGGUUUUAAGUGCAAGCUAAUUGGCGGCAUUUUGCAUCUUUGCUGUUUUCCUGCCCCUUCCCUUAAACCAGGCUUUAUCAAACUAGUCAUUUCUAGGUAGUUUCACCUCUUUUGUUCUACGUGCUUACUAUCUGUGAUAUAAAUCAACUCACUUUCUUUUACUAAAGGAACUUAAACUAAAAGGAACUUUAGAUCAAUCCCUUGUCUUAGUUAGAAGGUAAUCAUAGAAAUACGGAGCAACAAAGAUAAAAACAAUGCUGCAUAAAAUCACAUAAAUUCCAGUUGCCUGAAAGCUAUGAGCCUGCUUUUUUAAAAUGAGACUAAUUGGAGGUCAGCAGUAUUUUUCAUCUUUUUUUUGCUAAGACUCUCAAAAAGAAAUGUGUCUUACAUCAAAACCCAGUAGAUACCCUGGGUAUCUGUAUGUCUAUACAUACACUUGAAACAAGUUUUAUUAAACAAUACACGUAAGGCGCUCUGAUAUUUUCUAUUCUAUGAUUCUACUUCAUUUUUAUUUUUUACAUUGAUUUAUUUUUGAGAGAGACAGUGCACGCAGACAAGGCGCAGAGAGAGAGGGAGACACAGAAUUGGAAGCAGGCUCCAGGCUGAGCUGUCAGCACAGAGCCCGACGCGGGGCUCGAACUCACGAGCUGUGAGAUCAUGACCUGAGCUGAAGUUGGACGCUCAACCAACUGAGCCACCCAGGCGCCCCUCUAGUUCAUUUUUAAAAUGCUGGCUGUAUCCCAUUGCAUUGGUUUCAGGGGGAAUAUGUCAUGUACACGACAAAAAAACUGCUGGGUUAGCGGGUUGAUAAAGGUAUCUGUCACCAACUGAGACUCUGUCCCCACAUCACCCAAAAGACUGAAGAGUAAUGUUCUCAUCACGUGGUUCAACGUUCUGCAAUGCCAUUGCCCAGGUACCUGACAUAUACGCGGCCUGGCCAAAGAGGAAGCCCGUUCUAGAUUUCUUUUAAAUACCCAAUUCUGCCUAGAACUUGUCUUCUGUCCACAGUAAGCUGUUGAGAACAGUCGACCGCAGAUGAUAAUGACACUGAACAAGCAUGAUCACAGACAGCACUUAAAAGGAUCUCAAUGCC
This is a long non-coding RNA of Acinonyx jubatus (cheetah), 4417 nucleotides long. RefSeq lists it as uncharacterized. NCBI's taxonomy places the organism in Eukaryota, Metazoa, Chordata, Mammalia, Carnivora, Felidae. The transcript has 8 exons. The record is from RefSeq and is a predicted model, not a curated record.